Molecule: long non-coding RNA, 815 nt
Organism: Lolium perenne
Lineage: Eukaryota; Viridiplantae; Streptophyta; Magnoliopsida; Poales; Poaceae
Source: RefSeq, a predicted model, not a curated record
ACCACCUACCCGCAAUACUGCACAUCUCCCCCUCUCCCUCCCCUGCAAUGGAGUCUUGCUCUCACGGCCGUCGCGCUCUCCCUAGGCAUCUCCCUGCACGGCUGCGUGCCUACGGGCGCAACGACGGGCAGCGACCCAGGUGCAGGGAUGGCUGCCGCUGAUGGCGCCGUCGAAGGAAAUCAUGGGCACGGAGGGGCCCGGCCGGCGGCGGGGAUUUGGAGAAGAGCCGACGUCCUACCAGUUGGCCGGAAAGAAGACGUGCCACGCUAGAGGUGGACCGGGAGAAGGACGAUGGCUCCCGAUGUACAAUUUGGUCGCCUUUCAAUUUUUGGAGACGAAUAUUUGGCUAGUGAAAAACACAAAUUACAUUGAUAUUAAGGAGAGCUGAAGAUUUUCCAGUUUCAAAGCUGAUUUUUAAUUCAUCUUAGAUGUAUUUAGUUGGACUGUAAUAAUGAAGUGAAUUGGCGUUGUUACGAUUCUUUUCUUUGUUGACAGAUGAAAAAUAUCAUCUCUGCCUCGGGCUUCAACUAUCUCGUGUGCAGUGUUGAUGUCAACCUUGCGCGUCUAUGGGUUGACGCACCACUCCUCCGAGUCGGCCAGGGUGAUAGUGCCGCCAGCGCAGUCGAGCUCGCACAAUGUUAUUGUUGCUGGACAGGAACAGAACGCGUAGCAGUAUCAGAUUGAACCAUGGGUUUCUAUUGAUAUUCUUGCAGGUCCUCAUCCUUAAGAAAACCUGACAAGAAAAACUUGUAAAAACCCCAUCCCCCUUCGUGUAAAACACUGGGGAAAAUCAAUGUAAAUUCCGUUUCUGCUCA